AACGAACGCUGGCGGCAUGCCUAACACAUGCAAGUCGAACGAGACCUUCGGGUCUAGUGGCGCACGGGUGCGUAACGCGUGGGAACCUGCCCUUAGGUUCGGAAUAACUCCCCGAAAGGGGUGCUAAUACCGGAUAAUGUCUUCGGACCAAAGAUUUAUCGCCUUUGGAUGGGCCCGCGUUGGAUUAGCUAGUUGGUAGGGUAAAAGCCUACCAAGGCGACGAUCCAUAGCUGGUCUGAGAGGAUGAUCAGCCACACUGGGACUGAGACACGGCCCAGACUCCUACGGGAGGCAGCAGUGGGGAAUAUUGGACAAUGGGCGAAAGCCUGAUCCAGCAACGCCGCGUGAGUGAUGAAGGCCUUAGGGUUGUAAAGCUCUUUUAACCGGGAUGAUAAUGACAGUACCGGGAGAAUAAGCUCCGGCUAACUCCGUG
RNAcentral lists this ribosomal RNA (433 nucleotides) under uncultured bacterium. RNAcentral's name for it is "partial 16S ribosomal RNA". It matches the Rfam family "Bacterial small subunit ribosomal RNA", at positions 29 to 507 of the family's 1533-position model. The record is from RNAcentral.